UGCUUGUGCAGCGACAACGUACCCGUCCAUGCCUCUUCAUUGUUUGAUUCAAGUGCUUUAUUGCCUUGGUCGUAUCGGGUUGCCUGUGUUGUGUACCAUUAUUGAAGGCAUUGGUUUGGCUAAAAAUAUCCCGUCUCCUCUUAGUGCCGUUGACCACGUGUUUGUGGCACGAGGGGGAACCCAAAAGCAGUCGACGUGUAUCCACUUCUUUUUCGUGCGUGCAUGAAGGGAAUUUGGCCCAUGUCGGCUUGCUCGAUCUCUCGGUUGCGGUGCAUAAUUCGGGUACGAGGCCCUCGAGCCUCUGUUCUGCCCAUAAAAUAAGCGUUCUACGCUUCAUGCGAACGACACUCGUCAUCGUUUUGGUCGGGUCCUCGUGACUCGACUCAUGCGUUGCGGCGUCGAUGAAGGAAUGCUACCUGGUUGAUCCUGCCAGUAGUCAUAUGCUUGUCUCAAAGAUUAAGCCAUGCAGGUGGUAAGUACCACUCAUGCACCCUUUACGACGUCUUAAAAAAAAUACGGGGUGGGCAUUAUUAUUUAAACGGGGGGGAGGUUUUGUUAUUCAUUUUUUUUGG
Molecule: ribosomal RNA, 572 nt
Filed under: Cymbalaria microcalyx subsp. paradoxa
Lineage: Eukaryota; Viridiplantae; Streptophyta; Magnoliopsida; Lamiales; Plantaginaceae
Description: partial small subunit ribosomal RNA
Rfam family: Eukaryotic small subunit ribosomal RNA (bases 414-572)
Source: RNAcentral